GGGGUUGUGGCUCAGUGGUAGAGUGCACACCUUGCAGGUGGGAGGCCCUGGGUUCGAUCCUCAGCACCA
RNAcentral lists this transfer RNA (69 nucleotides) under Ictidomys tridecemlineatus (thirteen-lined ground squirrel). Its description in RNAcentral is "Spermophilus tridecemlineatus (thirteen-lined ground squirrel) tRNA". It matches the Rfam family "tRNA". From Rfam's summary of the family: Transfer RNA (tRNA) molecules are approximately 80 nucleotides in length. Their secondary structure includes four short double-helical elements and three loops (D, anti-codon, and T loops). Lineage: Eukaryota; Metazoa; Chordata; Mammalia; Rodentia; Sciuridae. The record is from Rfam by way of RNAcentral.